CAGCGGGAGAACUUACAUUAGAAAACAUCUGUGUCAAGUCACGUGACAAAAUUGUGCCAUGUCACGUGGUUUUCACGCGACAAACAGAGAGGUCAAAGGUGACUGCGGCGGCCAGUGCCGUAGCAAAUUCUUUCCAGCUUUCUACUUCCGUGGCAGAUCGUUCCAGCAACAGAGAAGGCUUUCCAUGAUCCGGUUCAUUUCCGGUUCGUGUUCGCUCUUCUUCUCCACCCCUACCCAUGAUGAGUUCCUCCUCCGACGACGACGACGACCCGAAGCUCCCUCACGACGUCGCCAUCGAGGUCCUGAAGCGGUUGCCGGUGAAAUCUCUCCUCCGUUGCAGGUGCGUCUGCCGGUCGUGGCGUUCCAACAUCGACGACCCUCGUUUCGUGGCCCUCCACUUGCGCCACUCCGCUCUCGACGCCUCCCGUUGGCAUCUCGUGUGCCGAGAUUGGUGCGAUCCUGUCCAGAACCUGUGCUCUCUGCUGUCCCAUCAGUCUCUUGCUCUGCCUUCCCGGUCGCAAACCGAAAUUCCAUUUGUUACUCCUCCUCCCGACAGCUACCGCAUCGUUGGUACGUGUAAUGGUUUGAUCUGCGUCACCGAACGUUCCAGAGAUGGCUAUGGUCGGACUAUGUAUCUGUGGAAUCCGUUCACCAGAAAGCACAAGGCGGUUCGACGACCCGGUCCGGAUAUGGAGACUGGUCGUAUGGUUCUAGGGUUCGGCUUCGACGCUAGGUCGAUCGACUAUAAGAUUGUGAGGAUUCUCUAUUCUCCAGAAGAUUGUUUUAGUCGCUUUGGUCGAGUCGAGAUUUAUUCGCUCCUUACAGAUUCCUGGAGAAGUCUGGAGGGUGAGGCUCCUGCUUUUCGCCUUGACAACAGAGCGGUCUUCUUGAAUGGGAAUCUGCACUGGUUUGCUUCCUAUCGAAACGAGGGUCGAUACAGGUCAAUAGUCUCGUUCGAUGUCGCAGGUGAGGUGUUUGACGAAAUGGCUCUGUUGGAAGAGAUUUUUCCCGUAGACAGUGUCUAUUUACUGUCGUGUAUGGCAGUAUUGAAUGACUCGCUGGCUGUGUUCAUUAAUGGUGGGGAGGCACUUGAUCAUCCUGAUUGGCAUUCCGUUUCUUCUGUUUGGGUUAUGAGAGACUACGGCGUGCCUGAGUCUUGGACUAUGCUGUAUAAUUUUAAGGCUUGUGGAACGGUAGUAGGAUUUGAUGGCUUCACGUGGAAUGGUGCUGGAGCUCUUCUUUAUUAACAGGAAUUCGGGUGAUUGGCAAUCCGAGUUCACCUGGCUCUUAGCAAAAAUGGGGAAUGGCAUAGAACAGCAAAAAGUAAUGUUGAAGUUUCUUAGGGAUGCCAAUACAUAGUUUAUGUGGAAGUCUAGAGACAAUUUGCUUCAUGGUCAAGGGAUAGUAAAAACAAGUCAAGACAACCCUCGUGCUCAAUUGUAUCUGGCGAGCUUGUGGUUCGGCUUGGACUACAUAUUAACUCAAACUAGACAUUUUAAUUUAAAAAAAUUUGAAUCCAACCGCAAACUACAAA
Molecule: RNA transcript, 1534 nt
Organism: Syzygium oleosum
Lineage: Eukaryota; Viridiplantae; Streptophyta; Magnoliopsida; Myrtales; Myrtaceae
Gene name: F-box protein At3g07870-like
Exons: 3
Source: RefSeq, a predicted model, not a curated record